GGGGCUCUAGCUCAUAUGGUAGAGCGUUCGCUUCGCAUGCGAGAGGCACAGGGUUCGAUUCCCUGGUGCUCCA
RNAcentral lists this transfer RNA (73 nucleotides) under Puccinia graminis f. sp. tritici CRL 75-36-700-3. RNAcentral describes it as "tRNA-Ala (CGC) (tRNA-Ala-CGC-1-1, tRNA-Ala-CGC-1-2)". It matches the Rfam family "tRNA". From Rfam's summary of the family: Transfer RNA (tRNA) molecules are approximately 80 nucleotides in length. Their secondary structure includes four short double-helical elements and three loops (D, anti-codon, and T loops). Further hydrogen bonds mediate the characteristic L-shaped molecular structure. tRNAs have two regions of fundamental functional importance: the anti-codon, which is responsible for specific mRNA codon recognition, and the 3' end, to which the tRNAs corresponding amino acid is attached (by aminoacyl-tRNA synthetases). tRNAs cope with the degeneracy of the genetic code in two manners: having more than one tRNA (with a specific anti-codon) for a particular amino acid; and 'wobble' base-pairing, i.e. permitting non-standard base-pairing at the 3rd anti-codon position. RNAcentral also lists the same sequence under 1 other name. The record is from RNAcentral. Lineage: Eukaryota; Fungi; Basidiomycota; Pucciniomycetes; Pucciniales; Pucciniaceae.